RNAcentral lists this long non-coding RNA (305 nucleotides) under Chloebia gouldiae (Gouldian finch). RNAcentral's name for it is "Erythrura gouldiae (Gouldian finch) lncRNA (ENSEGOG00005012437.1)". Lineage: Eukaryota; Metazoa; Chordata; Aves; Passeriformes; Passeridae. The record is from RNAcentral.
GUAAAUGAAAGUGUCAGGCUCGUGUGAGAUGCAUGGCUUUGACAAGAGCAGCCGCGGGGGUCUGCGCGCUGCAGGGCGGGCAAGGACCGCAGCGAGCGCCGCAGGACUCGGACCCACCCCAGUUUUUAAUUGCUGCCGUGAUGCAACCCGCAGCUCCCGGGACUGCAGCUCGUCACGGGGAGGACCAACUGCCUUGAGCCCGGUGGACUUUUAUGUCCCUCACAAGAGUGACUUGUUAUAGCUACAAAGAGCAUGAAAAAUGAAGCAUGAAGGAAAGCACAAGAUUAUGUUAAAUGAUGAGCAUC